Non-coding RNA from Dermacentor albipictus, 438 nucleotides. NCBI's taxonomy places the organism in Eukaryota, Metazoa, Arthropoda, Arachnida, Ixodida, Ixodidae. The record is from RefSeq and is a predicted model, not a curated record.
UCUCAAGCAUUUUUUCUUGGUGCGGUCAUGACAGUGUACAGCUGUAUAUGUGUAAAGAUGUGAUCGGUGACAAAGGCUAUGAUUAUGGUCCACUCCGCCGCGGCCGGUCCAUUGUUGGGCCUGCUGAUUCUCGCUGUCGCAUUCCCAUUUGUGCACGCCAAGGGCGCCGGAAUAUCGACAGUGCUCACGUUCGUCGGUCAGUUAUUCUUGGUGUGGCAGAGAUUACGCGGUGGAGUAAGGUCACCCCAAAUGGAAGUCACGCUUGACUUCUGCCCUGAAAAUGUCACCCACUACAAAAACAGCUCAAUUAUGAUGUCCAAUUACAGGUUGCAGAAUGAUGGGAACCUUUUUCUAGUGUCUCCUUUCUGGGGAAGUUUCAUUGGUUCUUUUUCUACGGUCCUGCUUGGAGUGCUCGCAAGUCUCGUCACUGGUAUGUGC